GUCGGGGUGGCGGAACAGGCAGACGCGCACGUUUGAGGGGCGUGUGGUUUAUACCGUGUGGGUUCGAUUCCCAUCCCCGACACCA
This 85-nucleotide transfer RNA is filed under the name Bacillota bacterium. RNAcentral describes it as "Firmicutes bacterium (anaerobic digester metagenome) tRNA-Leu". It matches the Rfam family "tRNA". Rfam says of the family: Transfer RNA (tRNA) molecules are approximately 80 nucleotides in length. Their secondary structure includes four short double-helical elements and three loops (D, anti-codon, and T loops). Lineage: Bacteria; Bacillati; Bacillota. The record is from RNAcentral.